CAGCCGCCGCGGUAAUACGAGGGGGGCAAGCGUUGUUCGGAAUUAUUGGGCGUAAAGGGUGCGUAGGCGGUUUGAUAAGUCUGAUGUGAAAUCUCUGGGCUCAACCCAGAGUCUGCAUCGGAAACUGUCGGGCUUGAGGAUGGGAGAGGUGAGUGGAAUUUCCGGUGUAGCGGUGAAAUGCGUAGAUAUCGGAAGGAACACCUGUGGCGAAAGCGGCUCACUGGACCAUUUCUGACGCUGAUGCACGAAAGCGUGGGGAGCAAACAGGAUUAGAUACCCCAGUAGUCCCUGUCUCUUAUAC
This 301-nucleotide ribosomal RNA is filed under the name uncultured bacterium. RNAcentral describes it as "partial 16S ribosomal RNA". It matches the Rfam family "Bacterial small subunit ribosomal RNA", at positions 509 to 807 of the family's 1533-position model. The record is from RNAcentral.